UUAAAAGGCGAGAUCCAACAUAAAAAAAAAUCUCGAAAUGAGAAACAUACCCUCUGAAGGUAAACUGCCGCAGCCCUUUCUAUGUCAUCUGCGCUGCGCCCUGCAAUCACUCUGGAUCGAGCGGGGGUCACCAACGACUUAAGCACCCCCAUCUCAUGAUAGCCCCGGGUAGGAGGAAACCUAAAGUUAGGAAGCGAGUCCUCGCGCUCACAUCGCGCACGACUAGGAGCUCCCAGCCUAGGAGCUGGAACCACAUCACGAGGCUCAUCUAAAGGCUGAGAAGUCUCGUUGAUCGUCUGAGACUUUCUCCCAAGGUCAGCCCCUUUCCCUCUCUUUGAAGGGAUAGGCAAAGGAUCCACCUCACCCUCCUGCCCCUGGUCAGGCAUGGAGUCCAUGACUCCUUCCAGAUCAAGCUCGACCCCUGCACAUGUAAGUUGAAAUCGGUUAAAAUCACAAGGUAGAGUACAAAAGAAAAAAAAAAGAGGGGGGAAGAGAGGGUGGGGGUGACUAUGAAAGCUUACCAUCAACGAGGGUAAGGGCCUCAUCUCCUCCUGGCAGAGUCCUCAAUACCUCAUCAAGAUCAAAGUCCAUACCUGAAACAAACAUCCAAGCUCAUUAGUCUCAACGAGCUAAAGGCAAAAAUAAUAAAUGAACGUGUGUGCAUGCUAAAAAAAAAAAGGGAAAAACAACAUAAACGACCUACCGAAUGGACGACUCAUCCCCACUUUCAACAUGUUCUUCAUGGUUAGGACUGACCCUAAGUCAGGUGCAAAGGGCGGAACAUCAACCAAGUCCUAGAUUUGAGCUUCUAGAAAGGGAGUAGCUUCUACUUGGCUAUUGAAGAGACGAAUUUGGGGGUGUCGCCAGUGCCUUCCCCCCGUAUGAGUUCAAAGCCUUAGCAUAAUCGGACGAUGUUUUAAACUGAUCCACAGCCGACUUGAGAUCUCCUGCGUACUCACCUGAGGCCUUAUACCUCUCAACCGCCUCUUCAGGAGCACGAGCCAAAACAGAGCGUAAGUUGUCGAUCUCCGUCUCUUGCUCACGAGCUCGAGCGUCCGACAUCUCCAGAGAUUUCCUCAAGGAGGAUAUUUUCUUCUUGUGGUGAUGAGCCUCUUUUUUCUUUUCUUCAGUAAGAGUUUUCAGUUCUGAGGCUAGGCGGCGAUUCGACUCAGCGAGUCCGGUCUGGAGGGCCACCACCUAAAAAAAAAAAAAUGUAUAAGGGGAAAAAGAGUGAAACCACGAGUUAAGGUCUAACUUAAAAGGCGAGAUCCAACAUAAAAAAAAAAAUCUCGAAAUGAGAAACAUACCCUCUGAAGAUAAACAGCCGCAGCCCUUUCUAUGUCAUCUGCGCUGCGCCCUGCAAUCGCUCUGGAUCGAGCGGGGGUCACCAACGACUUAAGCACCCCCAUCUCAUGAUAGCCCCGGGUGGGAGGAAACCCAAAGCUAGGAAGCGAGUCCUCGCGCUCACUUCGCGCACGACUAGGAGCUCCCGGCCUAGGAGCUGGAACCACAUCACGAGGCUCAUCUAAAGG
This 1532-nucleotide long non-coding RNA is filed under the name Olea europaea (common olive). RNAcentral describes it as "long non-coding RNA (OEUR_LNC010581)". The record is from RNAcentral. Lineage: Eukaryota; Viridiplantae; Streptophyta; Magnoliopsida; Lamiales; Oleaceae.